GGGUCACUAGCAGGUUUCUUCCCACCCUGGGUCUCUUCCUGACUUAUCAGCAUGCAUCCUUCCUUUAUUAUCAGACAAACUGGGAGCUUUUGCUGGAGAAACACGUCCUGUGGCUACACGCUGGGUAAGUGUCUAUGUCCACCGUGCCGUUUCUUCCCUCCUGUCUACGUCUCACCAUCAGGGCCGUGGCCACCCCAGGACAAGAGUUAAGACCUUGCCAGGGACUAGGUCUUAGCCUGGGGGCAUCUGUGGUGCGCUUGCAGGCCCGGGACCCAGGAUCUAAUAGCAUCUUGUGUGGAAAGGAAUGAAGAGGGGUCGUCCUUUGUCCUUGACUCCGGUUUUCGCGGUGAUUGUGGAAGGAGGUGAGAUAUUCCCCCGACAUGCAAAGAACUGACGCCUGCGGCGGUUUCUCGGACGGUCUCCCAGCCCUCAGGGUGAUCAUUUAUUGCACCACAGUCCACGGAAGCUUCUCUCACAAGAGCCUGGUACGACCCUGGCAACCUGUGCACAGCAUGGCGUCUGUCUUCCAGUCACAGGAAGUAACAGAGGGCAGAGAAAUCCCCAAGUGGACCCUCUGCAGGCACUGCUGCGCAGCUCCUGCGUGCUGGUGUGCGCUGGGAGCGAGGCCUUCAGACCCCUGGCAGUGGAGAGAGCCCAGAAAAGCGGGACUGAAGCUUUAUCUGCCCUGACUUCAAGCACCAAGCACGGCGAGUCGCUUUGUACUUACUUGUCUGUACUCCACACGGUACAUGGUUUCCCCAUGCGAGAUGCGUGGGGUGGGGGUGGUUGUGCAGGGCGGACAAGCGUCCCACACAAUUCAGGAAAGGCAUCCAGCCAUUCUGGGGUCUCUCGUGCCUCCUCUUCACCACCAUCAACCUUAAUUCGGGCGAACAUUUGAUGGGGAUAUGAGAGAGCAGAGCAUGGUGCUUAAAGGCACCGGAAUUAAGGAUCUUGAGCUCAAAAUGUCUAGGGUCUAAAAUCACUUCUAUUUAAGAAGCGCAGAGGGCUGUGUACGGGGUGGUCACAGCCUGCAUGAAUCGUGGCUCAGUCUAGUUCCAGAGAUGAAAUGAGAAAGCACCUGGGGAUCCAGUGUCCUAGGCCCACGUUCCUCUCUCCCCA
This 1119-nucleotide long non-coding RNA is filed under the name Fukomys damarensis (Damara mole-rat). Its description in RNAcentral is "lncRNA (ENSFDAG00000025580.1)". The record is from RNAcentral. Lineage: Eukaryota; Metazoa; Chordata; Mammalia; Rodentia; Bathyergidae.